RNAcentral lists this unclassified non-coding RNA (267 nucleotides) under Hypocreales sp. RNAcentral's name for it is "partial contains 5.8S ribosomal RNA, internal transcribed spacer 2, and large subunit ribosomal RNA". Lineage: Eukaryota; Fungi; Ascomycota; Sordariomycetes; Hypocreales. The record is from RNAcentral.
CGCACAUUGCGCCCGCUAGUAUUCUGGCGGGCAUGCCUGUCCGAGCGUCAUUUCAACCCUCGAGAACCCCUUCGCGGGGGGAUCGGUGUUGGGGAUCGACCGCCCUCAGCGGCGGACGUCCCCUAAAACUAGUGGCGGUCUCGCUGUAGCCUCCUCUGCGCAGUAGCUCUGUAUUCUCGCAGCCUGGAGAGCGGCGCGGCCACGCCGUUAAACCCCAACUUUUUCAAGGUUGACCUCGGAUCAGGUAGGAAUACCCGCUGAACUUAA